RNAcentral lists this ribosomal RNA (381 nucleotides) under uncultured archaeon. RNAcentral describes it as "bacterial SSU rRNA". It matches the Rfam family "Archaeal small subunit ribosomal RNA", at positions 85 to 476 of the family's 1478-position model. The record is from RNAcentral.
ACUGUCCAGUAAUCUGGGAUUCCUACCUUAAGUGGAGCAAAUUUUCGGAAACUGAUGAUAUACCUCAUAGGUCACGAGGACUGGGAAGACUUGUGGCUCAAAGUUCCGGCGCUUUAGGAUUGGUCUGCGGGCUAAUAUGGUAUUAUUGUGGGUAACGACCUGCUGUCGAAGACGGGAUGGUCUUUGAAGAGGUAGCCAGAGAAGGAUUCUUAAGACACGAAUCAGGGCCUACGGGGCGCAGCAGUCGCGAAAACUUCACAAUGGAGGCAACUCCGAAGAGGGAAUUCCUAGUGCCAAUGCAUUUUGUGUGGCUUUUCUUCAGCGUAGAAAACGGUUGGAAUAAGGGCUGGGUAAGACGGGUGCCAGCAGCCGCGGUAAUAC